RNAcentral lists this ribosomal RNA (252 nucleotides) under uncultured bacterium. RNAcentral's name for it is "partial 16S ribosomal RNA". It matches the Rfam family "Bacterial small subunit ribosomal RNA", at positions 524 to 776 of the family's 1533-position model. The record is from RNAcentral.
UACGAAGGUCCCGAGCGUUAUUCGGAAUCACUGGGCGUAAAGGGUGCGUAGGUGGCUGAUCAAGCCAGAGGUGAAAGGCAUUGGCUCAACCAAUGUAAGCCUUUGGAACUGAUCGGCUUGAGUGCAGGAGAGGUAAGUGGAAUUCCUAGUGUAGAGGUGAAAUUCGUAGAUAUUAGGAGGAACACCAGUGGCGAAGGCGACUUACUGGACUGUAACUGACACUGAGGCACGAAAGCGUGGGGAGCGAACAGG